UAUAAGAUAGUCUAGCCAGAUAAUUGUGGGACUUGAGAUCCCGUGGAGCAUGGCUCCUCCAGGGUUCAAAUCCCUGUCUCGGCU
Molecule: transfer RNA, 84 nt
Filed under: Methanobacterium sp. Maddingley MBC34
Lineage: Archaea; Methanobacteriati; Methanobacteriota; Methanobacteria; Methanobacteriales; Methanobacteriaceae
Description: tRNA-OTHER
Source: RNAcentral